AAGCACUGACCUCAAGUGGCAGUGAUCUGUGGUUCUGGAUUAGGAGGUCUUAGUGAUAAAUUCACUCAUGCCCAGAUCUUUGACUACAGUGAGAUACCCAACUUUCCCUGAAGUACAGUGCCAGGUCAUGCUGGUCGACUGGUGUUUGGAUUCCUGAAUGGCAGAGCCUGUGUGAUGAUGCAGGGCAGGUUCCACAUGUAUGAAGGGUGUUCACCCUGGAAGAUGACAUUCCCCGUGAGGGUUUUCCACCUUCUGGGUGUGGACAUCCUGGUGGUCACCAAUGCAGCUGGAGGUCUUAACCCCAAGUCUGAAGUUGGAGAUAUCAUGCUGAUCCGUGAUCACAUCAACCUACCUGGUUUCUGUGGUCAGAACCCUCUCAAAGGGCCUAAUGAUGAAAGAUUUGGAAUUCGUUUUCCUGCCAUGUCUGAUGCCUAUGACCGGACUAUGAGACAGAAGGCUCUCAGUACCUGGAAACAAACAGGAGAGCAGCGAGGGCUACAGGAAGGCACCUAUGUCAUGUUGGCAGGUCCCAACUUUGAGACUGUGGCAGAGUGUCGUUUGCUGCAGAAACUGGGGGCAGAUGCUGUUGGCAUGAGCACAGUACCAGAAGUUAUAGUUGCACGGCACUGUGGACUUCGAGUCUUUGGCUUCUCACUGAUCACUAACAAGGUCAUC
This is an RNA transcript of Carlito syrichta (Philippine tarsier), 675 nucleotides long. It is a transcript of the gene named purine nucleoside phosphorylase pseudogene, with no coding region annotated. The record is from RefSeq and is a predicted model, not a curated record. The transcript has a single exon. NCBI's taxonomy places the organism in Eukaryota, Metazoa, Chordata, Mammalia, Primates, Tarsiidae.